RNAcentral lists this ribosomal RNA (468 nucleotides) under uncultured bacterium. RNAcentral describes it as "partial 16S ribosomal RNA". It matches the Rfam family "Bacterial small subunit ribosomal RNA", at positions 28 to 507 of the family's 1533-position model. The record is from RNAcentral.
GACGAACGCUGGCGGCGUGCUUAACACAUGCAAGUCGAACGGAAAGGCCCUGCUUGCAGGGUGCUCGAGUGGCGAACGGGUGAGUAACACGUGGGUGAUCUGCCCCUUACUUUGGGAUAAGCCUGGGAAACUGGGUCUAAUACUGGAUAGGACCAUGCUGUAGGUGGUGUGUUGGAAAGAUUAGUUUCGGUAAGGGAUGAGCUCGCGGCCUAUCAGCCUGUUGGUGGGGUAAUGGCCUACCAAGGCGUCGACGGGUAGCCGGCCUGAGAGGGUGGACGGCCACAUUGGGACUGAGAUACGGCCCAGACUCCUACGGGAGGCAGCAGUGGGGAAUAUUGCACAAUGGGCGCAAGCCUGAUGCAGCGACGCCGCGUGGGGGAUGACGGCCUUCGGGUUGUAAACUCCUUUCAGCCAUGACGAAGCCUUCGGGUGACGGUAGUGGUAGAAGAAGCACCGGCUAACUACGUG